This is an RNA transcript of Apus apus (common swift), 8447 nucleotides long. It is a transcript of the gene named CAP-Gly domain containing linker protein 1, with no coding region annotated. Lineage: Eukaryota; Metazoa; Chordata; Aves; Apodiformes; Apodidae. The transcript is spliced from 28 exons. The record is from RefSeq and is a predicted model, not a curated record.
CGGUUGGCCUCCGCCACACGUGUCUGUCGUUCCCGCCGGCCUGCCGGCGCCGCCGUGUCAGCAGCCGGUUCGGCCGGUUCCCGAGCCGUGUGCUCGGGCUUGCCGGGCUCAUUCCGCUCUUGUAGCCCAGGUGCGCCGGGGGCCUCCCGCGUCUCGUCUCUCGCUGCGCAGAGCGCGGUUCGUGAGGAGCAGGUUUAUUCCAGAGUUGGAAAAAACUCAAAUAAUAUAUUGUAUCCAUGUUUGGAAAAAGAUAGUUGCUACAGACGAAGAGGUUAACACUGGUAUAAAAGAUGAGUAUGUUAAAACCAAGUGGACUUAAGGCUCCUUCAAAGACCAUCAAGCAUGGGGGCACACUGCUGAAGACACCUGCAUCUGUUGCAGCUGCUCCAGCAGAAAAAGCAGCUUCCAGUGAAAAGGCCUCCAGCACAACCACUGCAGAUGCACAUGAAGAGUUUGUGGAUGAUUUCAGAGUUGGUGAGCGUGUUUGGGUCAAUGGAAAUAAACCUGGCUUUAUUCAGUUCCUUGGUGAAACACAGUUUGCUCCAGGACAGUGGGCAGGGAUUGUUCUAGAUGAACCAAUUGGUAAGAAUGAUGGCUCCGUGGCUGGAGUUCGAUAUUUCCAGUGUGAACCCUUGAGGGGAAUAUUUACAAGACCAUCAAAGUUGACAAGAAAAGUGCUGACAGAAGAUGAAGCCAAUGGUACACAGACAGCUCAUGCUUCUAGAGCUACAUCCCCAACCUCCACAUCAGCUGCUAGUAUGGUGUCUUCAUCUGCUGCUGCACUUCCUCCUUCAGGAAUUCCUCAAAAAACUUCACUUGCUGCUAAGGAACAUUCAACUCCUCAGAUUAGCAAUCUUUCUAAAACUGCAAGUGAAUCUAUAUCAAAUCUCUCUGAAGCUGGAUCACUCAAGAAGGGAGAAAGGGAGCUCAAGAUUGGAGAUCGAGUUCUGGUUGGUGGAACCAAAGCUGGAGUUGUGCGUUUCUUGGGGGAGACUGACUUUGCUAAAGGGGAAUGGUGUGGAGUAGAACUGGAUGAACCUCUGGGGAAGAACGAUGGAGCUGUUGCUGGAACCAGGUAUUUUCAGUGCCAGCCCAAAUAUGGUUUGUUUGCUCCAGUCCACAAAGUUACCAAGAUUGGAUUCCCAUCGACCACACCAGCCAAAGCAAAGACAACAGUGAGGAAAGUGGUUGCAACUCCCACAGCCCUGAAACGCAGCCCGAGUGCAUCUUCCCUGAGCUCCCUCAGUUCUGUGGCCUCUUCAGUAAGCAGCAAGCCCAGCCGUACAGGACUAUUGACAGAAACAUCCUCCCGGUAUGCAAGAAAAAUUUCUGGCACCACAGCCCUGCAGGAGGCACUGAAGGAGAAGCAGCAGCACAUUGAGCAGCUCCUGGCAGAACGGGACCUGGAGAGGGCAGAAGUGGCCAAAGCCACCAGUCACGUAGGGGAGAUAGAGCAGGAAUUAGCGCUGGUUCGGGAUGGACACGACCGGCAUGUACUGGAGAUGGAAGCAAAAAUGGACCAGCUACGAGCCAUGGUGGAAGCUGCUGAUAGGGAGAAAGUGGAACUUCUCAAUCAGCUAGAGGAAGAGAAAAGGAAAGUUGAAGACCUUCAGUUCCGUGUGGAAGAAGAAUCCAUUACCAAAGGAGACUUGGAGCGAAAGAGGCAGAUUUCGGAAGACCCAGAAAAUACGCAGACCAAACUGGAGCAUGCCCGCAUUAAGGAGCUUGAACAGAGCCUGCUCUUUGAAAAGACCAAAGCUGACAAACUCCAGAGGGAGUUAGAAGACACUAGGGUGGCCACGGUGUCGGAGAAAUCUCGUAUCAUGGAGCUAGAAAGGGACCUUGCACUGCGGGUGAAGGAGGUGGCUGAGCUGCGAGGGAGGCUGGAGUCCAGUAAACACACUGAUGAUGUGGACACUUCUCUGUCUUUGCUACAAGAAGUAAGUUCUCUGCAAGAAAAAAUGGCAGCAGUUGGCAAGGAACAUCAGAAUGAGCUGAAUUCACUGAAAGAGAAGUUUGGAAGUAGCGAAGAAGCACUGCAGAAAGAGAUCAAAUCACUUUCAGCUUCAAAUGAGAGAAUGGCAAAAGAAAAUGAAUCCUUGAAGACGAAGCUCGAUCAUGCCAACAAGGAGAAUUCAGAUGUGAUAGAGCUCUGGAAAUCCAAGCUGGAGUCUGCAAUUGCCUCCCAUCAACAAGCAAUGGAAGAACUGAAAGUGUCUUUCAGCAAAGGUGUAGGGGCUCAGACAGCAGAAUUUGCCGAGUUAAAGACUCAGAUUGAGAAGAUUAAAUUAGACCAUGAAAAUGAAAUCUCAAAUUUAAAACUGAAGCAGGAAAAUGAAAAAGCUCUGCAUUUAAAAGAAAUUGAAUCACUGAAAGCAAAACUGUUGGCAGUCACAGAGGAGAAAGAGCAAAACCUGGAAAGCCUGAAGACCAAACUGGAAAGUGUGGAAGAUCAGCAUCUAGUAGAAAUGGAAGACACUUUAAACAAAUUACAGGAAGCUGAAAUAAAGGUAAAGGAGCUAGAGGUACUGCAAGCCAAGUACAAUGAACAAACCAAAGUUAUUGAUAGUCUUACACCACAGAUCAAAGCUGCUGAAGAAAAGCUUUUGGACCUUGCUGCACUUCAGAAAGCCAAUUCUGAAGGUAAAUUGGAAAUCCAGAAACUUAGCGAGCAGCUUGAGGCAGCUGAGAAACAAAUUCAGAGUUUAGAGACUGAAAAGGUUGAAGGAAGUAGCAAGGCUAGUAAUCUGGCCAAAGAACUGCAGGGCAAAGAGCAAAAGCUUCUUGACCUUGAGAAAAACUUGAGUGCAGUAAAUCAAGUUAAAGAUUCUUUGGAAAAGGAACUUCAAGUUUUGAAAGAAAAGUUUACUAGUGCAGCUGAUGAAGCAGAAAACGUUCAACAAACUAUGCAAGAAACAAUAAAAAAACUAAACCAAAAAGAAGAGCAGUUUGCACUCAUGUCUUCAGAACUGGAGCAGCUGAAGUCUAGCUUGACUGAGAUGGAGAGGAAACUGAAGGAGCGAGAAGAGAGGGAACAGCAACUGAUGGAGGCUAAAGCCAAGCUGGAAAAUGAUAUUGCAGAGAUCAUGAAGUCUUCAGGAGACAGCUCUGCCCAGCUGACAAAAAUGAAUGAUGAGCUGCGGGCAAAAGAGAGGCAGUUGGAGCAAAUACAACUUGAUCUUACAAAAGCAAAUGAAAAGGCUGUUCAGCUUCAGAAAAGUGUGGAGCAGACAACACAGAAAGCUGAGCAGAGUCAGCAAGAAACUCUCAAGAUCCAUCAAGCAGAACUGAAAAAUAUGCAGGAUCAACUAACAGACAUGAAAAAGCAAAUUGAGACCAGCCAGAACCAGUAUAAGGACCUUCAGGCCAAGUAUGAGAAAGAAACUUCGGACAUGAUCACUAAACACGAUGCAGAUAUCAAAGGUUUUAAGCAGAACUUGCUGGAUGCAGAAGAAGCACUGAAAAUGGCACAAAAGAAGAAUGAUGAGUUAGAAACACAGGCUGAGGAGCUGAAGAAGCAAGCAGAGCAGGCCCAAUCCUUAAGCUCUGUGUUAGCAUCAGCCAGAACAGAGAUUGAACUAAUGUCAGACAAGAUGAGGGGUUUGAUAUCAGAAAAAGAGACUCUGGCACAGGAGGGGAAUACUUUAAAAUUAGAGAGAGGUUCCUUGUUAUCCAAACUUGUAGAACUGGAAUCAAAGAUUUCGUUAAUGCAACGAGACCAAGAACAACUCUGGACAGUAAACGAAGAACUUAAAUCAGAAAACAAAAGAAUCCUAAAGCAGAAGGAAGAAGCUGAGACCAAAAGCCAGCAGGAAAGCAGAGAAAAGGUAGCACUGAUUUCUGAGCAAAGCAAAUUACUCUCUGAAAUAGAGGCAGCUCAGGCAGACCUUCUGAGGGUGACUCAAGAAAAUGAUGCGCUCCGGUCUUCAGAGUCAACCUUGCUCCAACAGCUGAAAGAACUUCAGGCCAACACAGAUGCCAUGGAUGUGGCAUGUCAGAAACACAUCAAGGAAUGGGAAGAACUGGAGAAUUAUCAGAAGAAACUUCUGGAAGAGAAAUGUGCAGUUGUUAAGAACAAAGAUGAUGUUAUUCAGAAGCUGGAAAGUUCUUGUGAGGCCCUGGCCAGAGAUCAAAGUGAGCUCCUGCAAAAAGUGUCAACUCUUACUGCAGAGAGAGAUUCGGCCCUAGAAAAACACCUGUACCUUGAAAAUGCACAGUUAGCCUUAAAAAAUGAAAUGGACAGUCUGCUGCAGACAAGACAAAGUCUGCAGGCUGAGAAGGAGAUGCUCCUCAAAAGCAUAGAAGAGCUGCGUGUGAGUUUGGACAACAGGGUUAGUGAAAACCGAGCACUGAAAGUAAGGAUGGAAGAGAUGGAAUCAGACCUCGAGACCAAACAGAAGGGACUUAAAAAAGCCAUGGAAGACAAUGCAGAGCUGAAGGAUUCCCUUGCUGCUCUCUCUCAUCAUCUUGAGGAAAUGAAAGCCUCAAGAGUCAGAUCCAAUUCCGAGUGUGUGCAGUUACUUCAGGAGAAAGAGGCUCUUUCUUCAUCAGAACGAAGGCUUCUGGCUGAAAGGGAGGAACUGCUGACUGAAAACAGGGCGGUUGCUGAAAGGCUUGCUCGUGCCACAGCAGAUGCCACACUUGCUGAGAAAGCCUUUACUGAGAAAAUAAAUGAGCUGAGCUUAGAAAAGGAAUCUGUUUUUCAUAAGUUGUUGCAAUUUGAAAAGCACAAUGAAGCUCUUCUUCAAGAGAAGAGUGAAUUGGAGAACAAAUGCUCAGAGCUUCUUGAUGAAAACAAGUCUUCUGCAAAUGCAAUUUCUGAUAUGAAGAGAGAACAUGAGCUGGAUGUCUCGGCCAAGAGAGCUCUGGCCCAAGAGAAUACCAUGCUCCAAGAUACCAUUGAAGCCCUCAAGGAAGAGCUAAGUAAGAAGACUCAAGAAAAUCAAGAGCUAAGAGCCUGUAAAUGUGACCUUUCAGACCUUUUGAAAGAGGCCCAGGAUGCCAAAAUAACACUAGAAGAUGAACUGGCUGCUGUGUCACAUGCCAACCAGGUCCUGUCAUCUUCACUCGAGACCUGUUCCUCUGACAGGGAAACACUGACCAGAGAGAGGACUGAAUUGCAAGAUAAGUGUCAGAAACUAAAUGGAGAGGUUGAGGUUAUGAAAGAAAACCUAGCCAGAGAAAAGGAAGCUAGAAAACUGGACAAGGAAUUGUUUUUGUUGGAACAUACGGAACUUCAAAGCAACAUCAGCUUCUUGGAGAAGGAGACAGAAGAGCUGAGAGAGAAAAAGAAAGAAUUUCUGACUGAGAAAGAACUUUUAGUUCAGGAGAAAGAAAAAUCUGAAUCUAAACUGGUGGAAAUCAUUAAAGAAAAAGAAACCCUCUGUGCAGAGAAGGAGCAGCUUGCUUCCAGUAUUGAACAACUGAAGAGUGACUUUGCUUCCUUGUCUACAUCAAAAGCAGAGCUCCAGGACUUGCAUAACUCUGUCUCCAAGAGACUGGAUGAUCUUCAGCACAGGUAUGAGGUGACAGAGAAGGAGAGAAUAAAGCUACUUCAGGAAAAUGACAGCCUGCUUGCUGAGCAGAAGAGUCAGGUCAUCAUCAAGGAGGAAAUACUGCAAGAGAAGGAGAAAUUCUCCAAGGCUUAUGAUAAACUGACCGAGGAAGUAGCACUUUUAGAACAAACUAAUAGUGAUCUCUCAGGCAAACUGCUGGUGUCUCAGGGCAAAAAUCAGAUGCUGCAGGAGGAGAUGAACAAUCUGGCUUUGAAACUAAAAGAAAUUGAGACUCUCCAGGCCCAAACAGUAGCCCAAAAAAUUGAGGCUGCCAAAGUGGCAGAAGAUGUUUUCCAGACUGUGGAGAAGGUGACCAAAGAGAAGGAUGCCAUUCACAAAGAAAAGAUUGAAACUUUGGCCUCUUUGGAGAAUUCUAGACAAACAAACGAGAAGCUACAGAAUGAAUUGGACAUGCUUAAACAAAACAACCUGAAAAAUGAAGAGGAACUUAAUAAAUCAAAAGAGCUUCUAAAUCUGGAGAACAAGAAAGUGGAAGAACUUAAAAAAGAAUUCGAAGCACUGAAGCUGGCAGCAGCUCACAAGUCCCAGCAGCUUGCAGCUCUGCAAGAGGAGAACCUGAAACUUGCCGAGGAGCUGGGCAGGAGCAGGGACGAAGUCACAAGUCAUCAGAAGCUGGAAGAGGAGAGAUCAGUACUCAAUAACCAGUUAUUAGAGAUGAAAAAGAGCUUGCCCAGUAACACUUUAAGAGAAUCAACACUAAAGAAAGAAAUUGAUGAAGAGAGAGCAUCUUUACAAAAAUCCAUCAAUGUUACUAGUGCCUUGAUCACAGAAAAAGAUGAGGAACUGGAAAAACUCAGAAAUGAGAUCACUCUGCUCCGUGGAGAAAACGCUUCUGCAAAAACGCUGCAGUCAGUGGUUAAGUCACUGGAGUCUGAUAAACUGAAACUUGAGGAAAAGGUGAAGAACUUGGAGCAAAAACUCAAGGAAAACAACGAACAGCCUUUAACUGUAACUAGCUCCUCAGGUGACACUGCUGCUAUUCAAGAUGAAAUUGCAAAAGAGAAGCAGGUAUUUGAUCUGAAAGAUCAGCAUGCUAAAACAGCAGUGUGUCUAUAGAGUGAAAUAUUCUUCCAAAGACAGUUUCUCAUCAGAUUCACCUUGUAACCUUCUGCUUCUGAAGGAACUACUAAUGGCAGGAAAUACUAGGAAUCAAGGGAUGAGUGAUACUGGAGAAGUAGUUCAGGUUACUGGGACACAAGGAAGCAAGCAGGAAAACAUGGGUGGCAAGUUUUGAUCUUCAGCUUGUUGGUGAGGUACAGCCCAGGAGAGCACACUCAGAAAUUGCUGUUCUUUCCAAAGAUUUAUUGGAUGUGAACAACGAAUAAGUUGAGGCCCACCUGUAUCUGUGGUGCUUGCCACCUUGGAGAAACUGGGUACUUGAACUCAGGUGAUACUUUGGAGCUUCUGCAGUUGAAAAUGUUAAUCUUUGCUUCUUAACUGCAAAACUUUCCUCAGAAUCAGGGUUGGCAGCAGUGGGGUGAGGAAGUUGCUCAGUUUGCAUGUGACAGGAAAAAGGGGCAUCAGAGAGUGUGAUAAUUGGAAGGAACAUGGGAAGUGAUGCUGUGCCACAGGCAGCCAGUGACAGCAAAUGCCCAGGAAACACGGGCAGAGCAGAAUUGCCUUCUGCUUGUUCUAGAAGUCCUUGUUAGAUCACUGAUGUCAAUCAUAGUGAUUAAAAAAUGUCCUUCCUUGUCUGUUUGGAGACCAGAAGCAGUGCAAUUACCACACACUAAUCACCAAUCUUUUUUUUUCUGCCUCCUUGAAUUCACCUGCUGAUGGCACCACUUCCUUCCAAGCAGCAUGAGAUCGACUUCCUGAACUCAGUGAUAGUAGAUCUGCAGAGGAGAAAUGAAGAGCUGAACCUAAAAAUACAAAGAAUGUGUGAAGCAGCCCUCAACGGCAACGAGGAGGAGAUAAAUAACUAUGACAGUGAGGAAGAAAGCUUGUCAAAGAAGAAGCCUCGUCUCUUCUGCGAUAUCUGCGGCUGCUUCGACCUCCACGACACUGAAGACUGCCCGACGCAGGCGCAGAUGCUGGAGGAGCCGCCGCACUCGGCGCACCACGGCAGCAGGAGGGAGGAGCGUCCCUACUGUGACACCUGCGAGAUGUUCGGGCACUGGACGGCAGAUUGCAACGACGACGAGACCUUCUGAUGCCACCAGCGGCCGGGAGGAGGGACUGUCUGUGCCCUGAGGGGACGAUUUAUACCACCAGCAUUUUUGCGUGCUGAAUGUCAGGAAAAGGGACAGCGUUUCUUGGCCCCCUCGCUCCCCUUCCCCUUGCCCAUCCACUCCGGAGUCAGUACCUUGAUAAGUAUUUUGCUCCUCUGCUAAUAAAUGCCCCAUCCCUUCCUAAUAAACUUAAGUGAACUAUAAACAAAUGAUUUAACAAAUUACUUUAUGCUGUUUCUUCCCAGGUUCUGGGUUUGUUCCCACUCUUAACAAGAAAUGCCCCUGUGCUGUUGCAUUUAUUGAUGGGAAAACUUGUAUAGGAACGAAGCACUAUAGUGAUAUUAAAGCUUAUUUAAAGACCUUAAAAUUAUGCUGUUAAUUUUCAUAUUUGCACUAAACCAUUUUAAGGCUGAAUUUGUAAAUUUAGAAUUUUUUUUAAGCUUUUUGGUUUGUUGUUUUGUUUUUUUUUGACACUGGACUGGGUUGAGAAAUGUUUCAUCUUUACCUUCAUUGAUUGUGAUUUCCCGGGGCUGUGGUUUGACACAAAGAAGCAGGUAAGACCCAUGAGCUGCUGGGGGGUUUAUCAGGAACCCGUGCUGCUGCAGCCCUUUUUUUCCUUUUUCCUUUCAGCUUCUCCAUAGUGUGUGUGUGUGUAUAUAUGCAUAUAUAUAUAUUAAAGUUCUAUUUUGGAAAAAAAAAA